GGCCUAUUAGCUCAAUUGGUUAGAGUGUGGUGCUAAUAAGGUCAAGGUCGCAGGUUCGAGACCUGCAUGGGCCA
Molecule: transfer RNA, 74 nt
Organism: Medicago truncatula (barrel medic)
Lineage: Eukaryota; Viridiplantae; Streptophyta; Magnoliopsida; Fabales; Fabaceae
Rfam family: tRNA
About the family: Transfer RNA (tRNA) molecules are approximately 80 nucleotides in length. Their secondary structure includes four short double-helical elements and three loops (D, anti-codon, and T loops).
Source: Rfam